This 281-nucleotide ribosomal RNA is filed under the name uncultured bacterium. Its description in RNAcentral is "partial 16S ribosomal RNA". It matches the Rfam family "Bacterial small subunit ribosomal RNA", at positions 332 to 629 of the family's 1533-position model. The record is from RNAcentral.
UUAACCUACGGGAGGCAGCAGUGGGGAAUAUUGCACAAUGGGCGAAAGCCUGAUGCAGCAACGCCGCGUGAAGGAAGACGGUUUUCGGAUUGUAAACUUCUCUCAAUAGGGAAGAAAGAAAUGACGGUACCUAAAUAAGAAGCCCCGGCUAACUACGUGCCAGCAGCCGCGGUAAUACGUAGGGGGCAAGCGUUAUCCGGAUUUACUGGGUGUAAAGGGAGCGUAGACGGCCAGACAAGUCUGAAGUGAAAAUCCAGCGCUUAACGUUGGAAGUGCUUUGG